CCGCCCGUCACACCAUGGGAGUGGAUGAUACCAGAAGGCAGUCGACUAACCGCAAGGGGUUGCUGACCACGGUAUGAUUCAUGACUGGGUG
Molecule: ribosomal RNA, 91 nt
Filed under: uncultured bacterium
Lineage: Bacteria
Description: partial 16S ribosomal RNA
Source: RNAcentral